RNAcentral lists this ribosomal RNA (253 nucleotides) under uncultured bacterium. Its description in RNAcentral is "partial 16S ribosomal RNA". It matches the Rfam family "Bacterial small subunit ribosomal RNA", at positions 524 to 776 of the family's 1533-position model. The record is from RNAcentral.
UACAGAGGUCCCAAGCGUUGUUCGGAUUCAUUGGGCGUAAAGGGUGCGUAGGCGGCGCGGUAAGUCGGGUGUGAAAUCUCGGGGCUUAACUCCGAAACUGCAUUCGAUACUGCCGUGCUUGAGGACUGGAGAGGAGACUGGAAUUUACGGUGUAGCGGUGAAAUGCGCAGAUAUCAGGAGGAACACCAAUGGCGAAGGCAGCUCGCUGGGACGUGACUGACGCUGAGACGCGAAAGCGUGGGGAGCAAACAGG